CCCUUAGAUGUUCUGGGCUGCACGCGCGCUACACUGACGCACGCAACAGGUGCCUGCUCCGAGAGGACUGGGUAAUCAUUUGAGUGUGCGUCGUGAUGGGGAUAGAAUAUUGUAAUUAUUACUCUUCAACGAGGAAUUCCUAGUAAGCGCCAGUCAGCAGCUUGCGCUGAUUACGUCCCUGCCCUUUGUACACACCGCCCGUCGCUACUACCGAUUGAAUGGCUUAGUGAGCCUUUGGGAUUGGCAGCUUGUACCGGCAACGGUAGCAGGCCGCUGAAAACUUAGGCAAACUUGGUCAUUUAGAGGAAGUAAAAGUCGUAACA
This 323-nucleotide ribosomal RNA is filed under the name uncultured eukaryote. Its description in RNAcentral is "partial 18S ribosomal RNA". It matches the Rfam family "Eukaryotic small subunit ribosomal RNA", at positions 1470 to 1796 of the family's 1831-position model. The record is from RNAcentral.